Cyprinus carpio carpio is the source of this 1481-nucleotide long non-coding RNA. The record is from Ensembl. Lineage: Eukaryota; Metazoa; Chordata; Actinopteri; Cypriniformes; Cyprinidae.
GCAUUGACAUUUGGCCGUUAAACGCUAGUAAGUAGACAGUUUACUUUGAAAUUUGAGAGAUCCAGACCGCGCGCCCUUAUAGCAUAACGCCUAUAAACCUUCAUAAGGUUGAUAUAUGCGUGUAUCUGUGUAUAUUGACGCUUUGGCAAUAACGGAGCAAUAAAGCUCCUGGAAUCUCAACCUUAAAAAGAGGAGGAGGAGAGAGAGAGGGCGGGAGACAGAGCGAGACAGAGUCGGAUUUAUCAGUCGCUGAAAGCAGAUUAAACGGUUAAACUGAAGUGCGUCUCGAAACUCCCAUCGGACUAACCAGCCUUCGCUUUAUUUAUUUACCGUCCCAAAUGAGUGUUCUGUCGGCGCAAGGCGAUGGAUUGUUCACGAAAAUGUUAGGCUACUCUUCGUGUAAGAGCUGAGGACACCGUGGAGAUCCCAUCAUGGCAGCAAGCAAGUGUCCAUGUCUGAUGCAGAGGACCACUGGAUCAAGAAGAAAACAAAGCACCUGCAAACUCUGGAAUUCAUUAUUGAUGAAACAAGACUUCUAAAUCUUUCUCUUUGCUUAAAGUAACCUGCAAAUGCAGUGCCACUGGAAUGCAGAUGGAUAGGACAAAAACUUCAAAAUCCUUCACACUGCAUAUAGUUUUUUUGAGCUAGCCAAUGAAAUCAAUUCAUUUAAUGUUAGCUGUCGAACUAACUGACUGAGGCAUCGGAAUGAUGAGUAGACUCAAAUGAGCAAACCAGUGCUGUAAAGAAUUGGUGAUGCAGUCCAAGGAAAAGUUCCUCCUCAAUGGGAAAAUAUAUAAUCUGACUCUAAGCCUGUUGAAGGAUCUAUUACUGGCUGGGAUCCUAUGACAGAUAGACUAAGUGUACGUUUUUAAGCUAUUUAGCAUUGCUCAGUGCUAAUGUAUAACAUAGUAAGCACAGUCUGCCCUAACUGGUCCACUACCCGUAAUCCUCCCAUGUGAAUGUGAAUGAAUUGCAGACAAUUCUUGCGUUAAGUAGUUCAACCUAGCCAUUAGCGUUAGCUGGCCAUGCUAAUGAUAGAAUACAGCCAUUAUCUCUCAGAUAGAGAGCAUGAGCAGACCUUUUUUAUGAGGGAACAUGGGCAUGAGGGGGAAUUAAACCCCACUCUACAGGCCACUAAUCUAAUAUAGAGCGAAAGAGAGAGAGAGAGAGUCAGAGAGAGAGAGCAUAAACUGAAAUGUUUCAUUUUGAAAUUCAUUGAAUAUGGGCCCCUAUUCCAAUGUUACAACACAGAUUUAAUUUCUGGAUCCAUUUUAGUGAUCUAGCAGUUCACAGACUCCUAACUAUAAUUGAAUCUCUCUAUCUUUAGUAUAUGAAAUAAUCUUAAAGGGAUACUCCACCCCAAAAUGAAAAUUUUGUCAUUAAUCACUUACCCCCAUGUCGUUCCAAACCCGUAAAAGCUUCAUGGCUUGUGACUGUCCCAUAGACUGCCAAGUAAAUUACACUGUCAAGGUCCAGGAAAG